CUUCCAAGAGAACCUUUGCCGGCUAGCAUUAUACCGGGGAAAGAAAAGCAUCUGCGUCGCCAUCCUCCCAAAACCCAAAUCGAACUCGCGGCGAUCUCUCGCCUUCCCAAACCAACAGACUCUGUACGGUCUUCUCGCUCUCGCGCCCCUCCCACAGUUUGUAGCGUGGCUAGCAGCAGCAGGGUGCCUCGCCGGCAGCUCUAAUCUUGGCACUGAGCUGUGCCUCCAACCUGUUUGAGUGAAUGCGCAGGUGGACGCGCUUGCUUUCUUCCACGCACUAGAUCUUGUGAAUUUUCCGUCUCCACCUGAUUUUGAGAUUCGCUGCUGACCAUGGCUGACGCCUCCGCCGGCGGCGGUUCCCUGGACGACUACCCAACCAUCGACCCAACCUCUUUCGACGUGGUCCUCUGCGGCACCGGCCUCCCGGAGUCCAUCCUCGCCGCUGCCUGCGCGGCCGCCGGGAAGACCGUCCUCCACGUCGACCCCGACGCCUUCUACGGCUCCUUCUACUCCUCCAUCCCGCUCCCUUCCGUCCCCUCCUUCCUCUCCGCCGACUCCUCCACCCCCUGCCCGUCCUCAACCACAGCGUCCUCCUCCGCCACCGCUGCAUACACCGCCGUCGAUCUCAAGCGCCGCAGUCUGUACUCGGAGGUUGAGACCUCGGGGACGGUUCCCGAACCGUCCAGGCGCUUCACGGUCGACCUGGUGGGUCCCAGGCUUCUGUACUGCGCCGACGAGGCCGUGGACCUUCUUCUGAGGUCAGGGGGAAGCCACCAUGUGGAGUUCAAGAGCGUGGAAGGGGGCAGCCUCAUCUACUGGGAUGGUGCGCUCUGCCCGGUGCCAGACUCUAGGCAGGCCAUCUUCAUGGACAGCACACAUCGGUCUAAGGAGAAGCUUAAUCUUAGGGAUAAUCUGAAGGAGAAGACCCUCUUGUUCAGAUUCUUCAAGCUUGUCCAGUCACACAUUGCCGCAUCGUCUCCUGGCGAUAAGGAUGGGGAGGGCGAAGCCUCUGGUAAGAUAUCCGAGGAGGACUUGGACCUCCCCUUCAUCGAAUUCCUCAAGAAACAGCAGCUUCAACCCAAGAUUAGAGCGGUUGUGCUAUAUGCAAUUGCCAUGGCAGAUUAUGAUCAAGAUGCUGCAGACUCAUGCGAGAAAUUGCUAACAACGAGAGAUGGAAUGAAGACGCUAGCUCUUUAUUCCUCGUCCAUUGGGAGGUUUGCUAAUGCCCAAGGUGCUUUCAUUUAUCCUAUGUAUGGGCAUGGCGAGCUACCGCAAGCUUUCUGUCGCUUUGCUGCUGUUAAGGGUGCCCUAUAUGUGUUGAGGAUGCCAGUCACAGCCCUUCUUGUGGACCAGGAAAAGAAGCGUUAUAUAGGCACCAGAUUGGCUUCUGGUCAGGAUAUUUUGUGCCAGCAGUUGAUACUAGGUCCCUCAUACAAAAUUCCUUCAUUGGACAUGCCAUCUGAUGCUUCAGACUCAAACUUGACGAGAAAAGUUGCCAGGGGAGUAUGCAUAAUCAGCAGCUCCAUAAAAGAGGCUUCAUCAAAUGUUCUGGUUGUUUUCCCCCCAAAAUCAUUACAAGAGCAGCAAGCUACAGCUGUUCGGGCGCUUCAGCUGAGCAGCAAUGUAGCAGUAUGCCCUCCUGGAAUGUUCAUGGUAUAUCUGUCUACUCCCUGUACCGAUGCCUUUACGGGAAAGCAGUACAUAAACAAGGCUAUGGAGGUUCUUUUCAGUACUCAGACUUCAGAUGAUUCAGAAGGCCAUUUGGAGACAACCAGCAAAAACAUCGAGGAUACAAAGCCAGUGCUAAUCUGGAGUUGUGUGUAUGUUCAAGAGAUCACACAGGGAACAUCUGGUACUGUAUUGUCAUGCCCCAUGCCUGAUGAAAACCUGGACUACAGAGAUAUACUGGAAUCAACAAAACAGUUAUUCACAGAUACUUAUCCUGAUGAAGAAUUCCUGCCUAGAAACGCAGCUCCUAAAUAUGCCGAUGAUGAAUCUGAUCUUGCAGAGUAGAAACAUGUUUGCAGAGGGUGCAUGCAUUAGCGAUGACAUGGACAGGGGCUUCACUGACAGGAAGAACUUGCUCAUGGACCGCAGGACCAUGGCUCCCAAGAUCGAUGACCUCAAGUCUCAGCCGUGCCUUUAGGGUUCCUCUCAAGAAUUACACACAAGAUUCUUACUCGAGGUACCGACCCUGAGGUCCUUCUUGGUGCCACAUGUGGUUGGUGGGCUGCAUUUUUUAAGUUGGUAUGAUGAACUGGACUUUGUAAAUGAGCACAUAUAUACACUGAAUCCUGGUAAAUGGCAGCUGAAUUUCAAGUACAGGGGACUCUUCUGCCCGAUCACAGUUUUCACACAUUAAUAACUGUAUGGCUCCAUCAGCGUGAAUUCAUUUUUCGGGGGGAAAUUUAAGUGCACAUAGCUGCAAAGAUGUGAAGAUCCAUAUCGGUCUUGUUUGAUAUUCUUUGAGUUGGUUUAGAUAGAGAGAAGUGACCUCUUUCAUGUCAAGUGCAUGUGCCAUUUACUACAGCCAAAGUGUAGACUGAUGUACGCUUAUAAUUUGUUCUUUUGCUUUUUCUUGGCUGCAUGCUUGCAUCCAAUUCAGAUUUUCCAUGUGCACUUCAGAACUAAUCAUGCCUGUACAGAUGAGAAAUUGAGCAAAUUUUUUAGUCUUUGAUAGAAACUGAACAAGUUUCUCAUGAGUUUUUUUAUAUACUUCAAGCCUACUGCUCAUCCAGCUCUAUGUGCAGUUUGGAGAUAUGCUUUAUUGAUCAUGCAACCUCCUUCUUUUCUCAUCCCUUUUAUAUUUUUAUUUCAAAUACUCUGUGUUAGCAAAAUCCUGUUGCAUGACUAGACCAACUAUCUGGUGAUUCAGGCACUACAUUAGUGAUUGGGGCAAUGGUCAGACCUGCUUGCAUGAAAAAAAGGGCAAUUUGGAUGUGCUUGCAGGAGCUCAGAACUCACCUAUUGAUGACUCACCUUGGAAACUGGUUUUUUAAAGGUCUUGGAGAUCACCUUUGGUAACAAACACUCAGGACUGCUCUAACUUAUUAUAUGAAAUAAUGUUCGGCCAUAGUAUAUUUUUUCUACACUUGAUGUUAGGCUGACAAGGCGACAGAUGCGGGGCCUUCUUCAAUUUCAAGUCACACAUGCCAUCGUCGUCCAGGUCAGUGGUGCCCCGUGCCCAUCGACGACAUCAUGCAGCUGUUCGCCAACGCCUGGAUGAAUCACUUCAAGACAUUAUUCCUUGACCAUAAUGUAGUGCCGCCCUGGACUAGCAGCUUGUCGCCUACACCUCAAUACAAUACCCAGAAGUGCAUCCGCGCCGGCAGCAAGCACAACGACCUCGACGCCAUGGGAAACAGUACUCCUUGAUGGGAACUAGACCUUCAGGUAUGAUGGGAGCUUCGAAGAGGAAGCCAACGGAUAUUCAUGGGAGCUCCUCGUCAAAGUGAGGGAUUUAGUAUAGAAAGCUACUUUACAAGUAGUCUCAAGCUGGAGGAUAACAGAUUGGUCGCGACGUUAGGGAUCCCCAUCAAUGUUAUACUAUUUGUCUCCAGUACCAUGGCAGAGGUUUCUUUUGUGCAUGGAUUUCCAAGCGCUCCGGCUGUCAUUGGCGGAAGCGUGGGUUUUAAUUGGCCAACAUUCAUCUUUUAGGCGCUGUGUUUAUGUAGAGAAUUUUACUUAACAGGUCUGGAUGGCAUCUUUUGUCAAAACAAAAUCACGUUUGUUUUUAUAUAUUUUCUGCCUGACGCGUAAAGUGUUCCAUUAUUGUUUUGCUUUUAUGUAGAAGUCCCUGGAUGAACUUACUACAAUCUUUAUUGUCAGGACACAUUGGUACUGAGCUUUCUUGCAAAGGUGCUAUGUUCUAACUGUGGUGUAUAUAGUUGUAUAGUUUAUAGUGAAAGCUGCGUUCUUGUCAGGCCACAGUAGUUGUAUAGUUUAGAUUAUACCUUGAGUUAGUUUUGUGCUUGUGGAAGUGCAGUGGCGAUUGCAAGACGGCUUGGUUCAGCUUCAUUAAUAUAGCACCAUCUUCACAAUACUGUACAUUAUAUUCUUAGACGGCUGGGUUCAACCUUGAGACCUUUGAAGUAAAAUACACUUAGUAGUUUUAAAUUUCAAGUGGCAUGGCUUACAAUAUGUAAGUGGGUUUUCCACACUUGUAACAUGAGAGAAUCUGCAUAGAUCUCAAGGUUGUCAUUCGUGGCUGAGACAAUGUUUCUAAAUCAAGGGACCCGCACUUCGUCAUUAUCUAAAUUGCGCUUGAUUAUUUUCCUAAAGGGACCUGCACUUCGUCAUUACCUAAGCGCAUCAGUUAGAAGAAAAGUUAGAGCUGACGGGAGUGGUGCCAACAGUUUCCACAAUAAUCGUCUGACAAAUAAAUAUAUAUCUUCUCAUUUUUCAGAUUUUGUUGUUCAUUUCAGUUAAAUCUAUUAGCUUACUGGUUGUGGUAUAACUAUUUCUAGAAUUUACAAUGUGGUUUCCGUGCCUAUUGAUUUAACUUGAUGAGAGAAAUGACUUCUUGGGUUCACUAUUCACUCUACAUUCUGAGUGGUUGUAACUUUUUUGCUUCUGAAGUGUCAAAGGAUACAAAAAUCAGGAUGAUAUAUUAGGCUGAGACAAUGUUUAUAAAUCAAGAGACCUGCACUUCGUCAUUAUCUAAAUUGCGCUUGAUUAUUUCCCCCCAGCAAUAUCAAGAUGAGGAUACAAGCAGAUCAAGUGUACAAGACGUGUAGUCUCCUCGUGAAGGUGGCUGAGCUAUGAAUUUGCUCUUGGUAUAUUUACCUAUGCUGGAUAUGGGGUCAGAUCUUUGGUAUGCAGGUGAAUGUAUAUGGAACAAUGAUUGCACAUAUUACAGUAAGCUAUAUUCUCUUCACAUUUAUGCAUAUUCUUGUUGGGACAAAAAAAGUGGUUAUAAUAAGCAGAUUCUUGUUGGGACCAAAAAAAGUGGUUAUAAUAAGCAGAUAUAUUUCUUCCCA
This is an RNA transcript of Triticum aestivum (bread wheat), 4979 nucleotides long. It is a transcript of the gene named rab escort protein 1, with no coding region annotated. NCBI's taxonomy places the organism in Eukaryota, Viridiplantae, Streptophyta, Magnoliopsida, Poales, Poaceae. The record is from RefSeq and is a predicted model, not a curated record. The transcript is spliced from 15 exons.